AUGGAGGCCAAGAAGUUGAGGGUGUGCGCCAUUGCCGCCCUGUGCGUGCUCCUGCUUGUGCUGCCGGGGCAGGUCGCCGCCAAGUCCAAGUUCUGCGUGUGCUACGAGGACUGCUACCGUCAAUGCAGGCACCACAUCCUGCGAUUCGCCUGCGUUCCGUUCUGCUCCAACAAGUGCAGCCCCAACCAGGCCGCCGCCGCCGCCGGCGGUGCCGGCGGUAACCGCGACCGGUGCAGGGCGGCGUGUGCCAAAGUCAAAAUCUGCGGCCAGUCAGAUCCGUCCGUGCAAAUUCCUGGUCUCACGGUGCACAUGGCUUCUACUUCCCUUCAUCAUCAACAGCCGGCGGUGAUGAGGUCGACGCUGUCGGUCACGGAUGCGGUGAGUGUGAGGACGACCACCAGGGCGAGGGUGAGCACGAACACAGACGGUGAGGGCGAGGACGAUUCCGACAGUGGCGCUUUGGGCUGUUGGUGGAUGUUCGAGACCGUCCCCCGCUCCCCCGAUCUAGGGUUCCUCCCUUCCCCUGCCGCCGCCGGCCGCCGGCCACCGGCCGCCCCCGCCCCAGCCCCCCUCCCCGGGCCCCCUCUCUCCCUUCCCCCGGAUCUGCUCCGCGCCGCCUCCCCGGGAGGUGGCCGGGGCGACGCGAGCCCUGCCCCCCCUUCGGCCGCCCUCGUCGCUCCUUCCCACUCUGUCACCGCCGAUGGGCGCCCCGGCGCUUGCCAGGUGGUGUUGGCGGAGGCGGGGCUUGCCUAUCCCCGCGCGCGCGGCUCACGCGGUGGUGGCGUGGCCCCUUGGCGGCGAGACGGCGUGGUAGCACUGGUUGGCCGGUGGCGCGCCCCCAGCCCAGAUCGGGGCCCGCGGGCCCCAUAUGGGUCCUAG
RNAcentral lists this ribosomal RNA (879 nucleotides) under Triticum aestivum (bread wheat). RNAcentral's name for it is "partial small subunit ribosomal RNA". The record is from RNAcentral. Lineage: Eukaryota; Viridiplantae; Streptophyta; Magnoliopsida; Poales; Poaceae.